AACGAACGCUGGCGGCAUGCCUAACACAUGCAAGUCGAACGAGACCUUCGGGUCUAGUGGCGCAAGGGUGCGUAACGCGUGGGAACCUGCCCUUAGGUUCGGAAUAACUCCCCGAAAGGGGUGCUAAUACCGGAUAAUGUCUUCGGACCAAAGAUUUAUCGCCUUUGGAUGGGCCCGCGUUGGAUUAGCUAGUUGGUAGGGUAAAAGCCUACCAAGGCGACGAUCCAUAGCUGGUCUGAGAGGAUGAUCAGCCACACUGGGACUGAGACACGGCCCAGACUCCUACGGGAGGCAGCAGUGGGGAAUAUUGGACAAUGGGCGAAAGCCUGAUCCAGCAAUGCCGCGUGAGUGAUGAAGGCCUUAGGGUUGUAAAGCUCUUUUACCCGGGAUGAUAAGGACAGUACCGGGAGAAUAAGCUCCGGCUAACUCCGU
Molecule: ribosomal RNA, 432 nt
Filed under: uncultured bacterium
Lineage: Bacteria
Description: partial 16S ribosomal RNA
Rfam family: Bacterial small subunit ribosomal RNA
Source: RNAcentral